RNAcentral lists this ribosomal RNA (492 nucleotides) under uncultured bacterium. RNAcentral describes it as "partial 16S ribosomal RNA". It matches the Rfam family "Bacterial small subunit ribosomal RNA", at positions 29 to 507 of the family's 1533-position model. The record is from RNAcentral.
AGUGAACGCUGGCGGUAGGCCUAACACAUGCAAGUCGAACGGCAGCACAGUAAGAGCUUGCUCUUACGGGUGGCGAGUGGCGGACGGGUGAGGAAUACAUCGGAAUCUACUUUUUCGUGGGGGAUAACGUAGGGAAACUUACGCUAAUACCGCAUACGACCUACGGGUGAAAGCAGGGGAUCUUCGGACCUUGCGCGAUUGAAUGAGCCGAUGUCGGAUUAGCUAGUUGGCGGGGUAAAGGCCCACCAAGGCGACGAUCCGUAGCUGGUCUGGGAGGAUGAUCAGCCACACUGGAACUGAGACACGGUCCAGACUCCUACGGGAGGCAGCAGUGGGGAAUAUUGGACAAUGGGCGCAAGCCUGAUCUAGCCAUACCGCGUGGGUGAAGAAGGCCUUCGGGUUGUAAAGCCCUUUUGUUGGGAAAGAAAAGCAGCAGGUUAAUACCCCGCUGUUCUGACGGUACCCAAAGAAUAAGCACCGGCUAACUUCGUG